Molecule: ribosomal RNA, 209 nt
Organism: Selaginella moellendorffii
Lineage: Eukaryota; Viridiplantae; Streptophyta; Lycopodiopsida; Selaginellales; Selaginellaceae
Rfam family: Eukaryotic large subunit ribosomal RNA
Source: Rfam
AAAGCCGGGCUACGGUGCCAAAGUGCGCGCUAACCCAGAUCCCACAAAGGGUGUUGAUUGAUUAAGACAGCAGGACGGUGGUCAUGGAAGUCGAAAUCCGCUAAGGAGUGUGUAACAACUCACCUGCCGAAUCAACUAGCCCCGAAAAUGGAUGGCGCUUAAGCGCGCGGCCUAUGCCCGGCCAUCACGGCGAUUGCGAGGCCCCGAUG